AGGGAUUGCCUUAGUAGCGGCGAGUGAAGCGGCAAUAGCUCAAAUUUGAAAUCUGGCACCUUCGGUGUCCGAGUUGUAAUUUGAAGAAGGUAUCUUUGGUUUUGGCUCUUGUCUAUGUUCCUUGGAACAGGACGUCACAGAGGGUGAGAAUCCCGUGCGAUGAGAUGCCCAAUUCCAUGUAAAGUUCCUUCGACGAGUCGAGUUGUUUGGGAAUGCAGCUCUAAGUGGGUGGUAAAUUCCAUCUAAAGCUAAAUAUUGGCGAGAGACCGAUAGCGAACAAGUACUGUGAAGGAAAGAUGAAAAGAACUUUGAAAAGAGAGUGAAAAAGUACGUGAAAUUGUUGAAAGGGAAGGGCUUGAGAUUAGACUUGGAAUUUUCCAGUAAUGGAGCUUUCUGGGCCAGCAUCAGUUUGGAUGGCAGGAUAAUUGCGUAGGAAAGUAGCUCGGCUUCGGUUGAGUGUUAUAGACUGCGUCGAUACUGCCUAUCUAGACUGAGGACCGCGUCUUUGA
Molecule: ribosomal RNA, 509 nt
Filed under: Yamadazyma sp.
Lineage: Eukaryota; Fungi; Ascomycota; Pichiomycetes; Serinales; Debaryomycetaceae
Description: partial large subunit ribosomal RNA
Rfam family: Eukaryotic large subunit ribosomal RNA
Source: RNAcentral